Oryzias latipes (Japanese medaka) is the source of this 878-nucleotide non-coding RNA. NCBI's taxonomy places the organism in Eukaryota, Metazoa, Chordata, Actinopteri, Beloniformes, Adrianichthyidae. The record is from RefSeq and is a predicted model, not a curated record.
CUCCGUCUUCAUGUCGGACCACUUCUUUUUGACCUCGGGCAACUCUCGGGGGCAGGUGGUGACGGCGUUGACUUUGCGGAGGAUGUCGACCCAGGCGUUAUUCUUAGCCAUCCGACGCCAUAAGUGCAGAAAAGCCUCUAAAGACAAGGGAUUGUGCGUAUCGUACGCAAAAAAGUGCGAUUUACUCAACUGCUGUGCGCAACGUAAUGGCUUCCAGAAUCGGCUUCUUCUGAAGAACAAACAGCUACGGGAGCCCCGCCCCCCCAACGCGGCUUCGCCAUAGGCUGGGUGGAGGGAUGACGUCAAACGUUCUGUGGGCCUCAUUGUGUAGAACAGAUGACAAUCAAGGCACGAGCCAAACAGCGCGCGCUCCCGAAGCCUCAAUAAAGAUUGAUGGAAAAAACGGAAGUGUCAAGGUGGCGCGCGCGUUUGUGGAGCACCGUCCAGAAUGACGUGUUCCUUCAUCCUAUGAAUGAAUCACAUACAUGAACCUUAUUUAUUCUUGACCCGCCUGAAGGUUCUGGAGACCAGAACAUGUUCGUUCUGCCGCGACUCGGAGCUCUGCGCUCUGGAACAGAGACGCGCGUGAGCUGAGAGUCACGAGAGUCUUGGGGUUUUGAUGCGCGGUUUUACUGUUUUGAUGCGCAAUACUUUAGGCUCUAUUUUGACACCAUAAGUCUUCCUCUGGAAGCUCAUCCAGAGAAUGCCAAGAGUGAGCAAAGCAGUGUAACCAACUUCCUGGAUCUUUUAUUUUGGGAGAGGUGUGUCCCUCCCGGGACCCUAGAGACCAGGGGGCGUGGCAAGUUCAGAGGGAAUCAUUAGUUUUGGGAGUUGAAGAAGAAGAAUAAAGAAGUGGUGAGCAGAUCCACUAAAUGGCG